Molecule: ribosomal RNA, 497 nt
Filed under: uncultured bacterium
Lineage: Bacteria
Description: partial 16S ribosomal RNA
Rfam family: Bacterial small subunit ribosomal RNA
Source: RNAcentral
GAUGAACGCUGGCGGCGUGCCUAAUACAUGCAAGUCGAGCGAACGGACGAGAAGCGUGCUUCUCUGAUGUUAGCGGCGGACGGGUGAGUAACACGUAGGUAACCUACCUAUAAGACUGGGAUAACUUCGGGAAACCUUAGCUAAUACCGGAUAAUAUUUUGAACCGCAUGGUUCAAAAGUGAAAGACGGUCUUGCUGUCACUUAUAGAUGGAUCCGCGCUGCAUUAGCUAGUUGGUAAGGUAAAGGCUUACCAAGGCAACGAUGCAUAGCCGACCUGAGAGGAUGAUCGGCCACACUGGAACUGAGACACGGCCCAGACUCCUACGGGAGGCAGCAGUAGGGAAUCUUCCGCAAUGGGCGAAAGCCUGACGGAGCAACGCCGCGUGAGUGAUGAAGGUCUUCGGAUUGUAAAACUCUGUUAGCAGGGACGAACAUAUGUGUAAGUAAAUCUCCAUACCUUGACGGUACCUACAGAGAAAGCCACGGCUAACUACGUG